This 304-nucleotide small nuclear RNA is filed under the name Jaculus jaculus (lesser Egyptian jerboa). RNAcentral describes it as "7SK RNA (ENSJJAG00000009287.1)". It matches the Rfam family "7SK RNA". From Rfam's summary of the family: 7SK was discovered as an abundant small nuclear RNA in the mid-70s but a possible function has only recently been suggested. Two independent studies have found that 7SK RNA binds the CDK9/cyclin T complex (known as elongation factor P-TEFb). Lineage: Eukaryota; Metazoa; Chordata; Mammalia; Rodentia; Dipodidae. The record is from RNAcentral.
UGACAUGAGGGUGAUCUGCUGACCACACUGACAACAUCUAUCACCCCAUUAAUCCCCAAGGUUGAUUCCACUCACCUGGCCGGCUAGGCAGGUGUCCCUUUCUCCUUCACUCCUCCACGUGUGACUCUCCCAAAUGUGUGUGCUUGGUCCAACAGCAUGACCUUCUCCAAACAGAGGAGGACCAUACUUUUGUCUGGAAUAUAAAAGCAGCUGAGCUACCCUGCUAGAAACUCCACAUAUACUCUCAAGGUCCGAGAAGGAGAAAUCGGGUCAUGGCAAAGAAAGACUGGACCAAAGCGAGACU